Homo sapiens (human) is the source of this 1510-nucleotide long non-coding RNA. Ensembl annotates it as MKLN1 antisense RNA. Its record names the gene MKLN1-AS. The record is from Ensembl. Lineage: Eukaryota; Metazoa; Chordata; Mammalia; Primates; Hominidae.
CCUUGACGGCUGACCGACACUGGGUCUGAGGUGUAAGCGCUUUCCAGGCCCUUCCCUGGGGCUUGGAGGGGAAUGGCGCAAAGGACUUUUCUUACAAGCAGAGCCACUGCAGUUACCAAAGAGUAUGUCGCUUAUUGUCUAAGAGGUUGGACUCCUGAAAGCCUGGACAGUGUCAUCAUCUUCACCUGAAGAGUGGAAAAAUUCAAGCAAAGAGUUUCUCAGGAAAUGACCAAGUAAAACAUCUGGAGUAAGUCAGCAGGAUUCACAGUGACUCCCCCCAACCAGCUGGUGGUGUUUCUCUCUGAAAGCAGCGCUUGGUACCAGUGUGAACUCUCUUCCUUCAGAAGUCUCAUCAGGUGUUUCAGAUGAGUUCUCCGGAAUUUGGACCUCCUACUCUUGGGUUGAAGGUGGACGUAAUACGAGGGUCUGGUCCCCCAUACCUUGAGGACUCCGCUGCCAUCUGACAAUUACAGACAAUCCAAUUGUCCUCAUCCUUGAGGACUCUGCUGCCAUCUGACAAUUAGAGACAGUCCAAAACAUGCCACACUUUGAUCCUAAACACAUUCCUGGCUUUGGUCACUUUUGAAAAGUUCCUGAGUUAUGAGAAAUCAAUAAUAAGAGUGUUCAAAACCUGAACACUCUUUUUAGAAAUACCUGCUGGAACUACAUAUAUGAUUUAUGGGGUACUGUCUUGUAGUAUCUGGGAAAGUAGACCCAUCUAACCUGGAAUGAUCAUAGGCAACAAUGACCAAAAAUGGGGAUCUUUUGAUAUACCUAAAGUAAUUUAUUUGUGCACACCAUUGGAAAGAGCUGGUUUUAGAACCAGACAUGUAAAUAAGAGACUGACUUCCACUGGCACCUAAAAACUUCUAAAAGAAAUCCUGAAAGAAAAAGUCACCUUCAUUCAAGAGGUAAACAAAGGGAUAUUUGAAACUAUGUUAAAAGACUUCAGAGGCUUUCUCCCUUUCACCUCCAGACCCUCCUUUUCCUUCCAGCCCUGUGAUCUGAACUCAUCCCUUUCUGCCGCUUCUCUUGGCUUCCAUACAUCUCUUAGGCAGAGAUGUUUUAAAAUUUCACAAUGUACACAUUUCCUUCUCUCAGGGGAAAUGAAUUUAAAUUUAGAGCAGAAGGAACAAGCAGAACAACAACAGAAUGGGAAUAAGACUGCUGAGACUAUAAAAAUGCAGAUCCAACAAAAUUUUUUCUCACCAGGUCUAGUGAAUGACACUGUGAUAUGGUCUGGCUCUGUGUUCCCAACAAAAUGUCAUCUCGAAUUGUAAUCCCCACGUGUCGGGGGAGAAGCCUGGUGGGAGAUGAUUGGAUCAUGGAGGCAGUUUCCCCCAUGCUGUUUUCAUGAUAGGGAGGGAGUUCUUACGAGAUGUGAUGGUUUAAAAGUGUUUGGCAGUGGCCGGGCGCGGUGGCUCACGCCUGUAAUCCCAGCACUUUGGGAGGCCGAGGCGGGUGGAUCAUGAGGUCAGGAGAUCGAGACCAUCCUGGCUAACAAGGUGAA